This 2209-nucleotide ribosomal RNA is filed under the name Escherichia coli. Its description in RNAcentral is "bacterial LSU rRNA". It matches the Rfam family "Bacterial large subunit ribosomal RNA", at positions 1 to 2226 of the family's 2925-position model. The record is from RNAcentral. Lineage: Bacteria; Pseudomonadati; Pseudomonadota; Gammaproteobacteria; Enterobacterales; Enterobacteriaceae.
GGGUUGUGAGGUUAAGCGACUAAGCGUACACGGUGGAUGCCCUGGCAGUCAGAGGCGAUGAAGGACGUGCUAAUCUGCGAUAAGCGUCGGUAAGGUGAUAUGAACCGUUAUAACCGGCGAUUUCCGAAUGGGGAAACCCAGUGUGUUUCGACACACUAUCAUUAACUGAAUCCAUAGGUUAAUGAGGCGAACCGGGGGAACUGAAACAUCUAAGUACCCCGAGGAAAAGAAAUCAACCGAGAUUCCCCCAGUAGCGGCGAGCGAACGGGGAGCAGCCCAGAGCCUGAAUCAGUGUGUGUGUUAGUGGAAGCGUCUGGAAAGGCGCGCGAUACAGGGUGACAGCCCCGUACACAAAAAUGCACAUGCUGUGAGCUCGAUGAGUAGGGCGGGACACGUGGUAUCCUGUCUGAAUAUGGGGGGACCAUCCUCCAAGGCUAAAUACUCCUGACUGACCGAUAGUGAACCAGUACCGUGAGGGAAAGGCGAAAAGAACCCCGGCGAGGGGAGUGAAAAAGAACCUGAAACCGUGUACGUACAAGCAGUGGGAGCACGCUUAGGCGUGUGACUGCGUACCUUUUGUAUAAUGGGUCAGCGACUUAUAUUCUGUAGCAAGGUUAACCGAAUAGGGGAGCCGAAGGGAAACCGAGUCUUAACUGGGCGUUAAGUUGCAGGGUAUAGACCCGAAACCCGGUGAUCUAGCCAUGGGCAGGUUGAAGGUUGGGUAACACUAACUGGAGGACCGAACCGACUAAUGUUGAAAAAUUAGCGGAUGACUUGUGGCUGGGGGUGAAAGGCCAAUCAAACCGGGAGAUAGCUGGUUCUCCCCGAAAGCUAUUUAGGUAGCGCCUCGUGAAUUCAUCUCCGGGGGUAGAGCACUGUUUCGGCAAGGGGGUCAUCCCGACUUACCAACCCGAUGCAAACUGCGAAUACCGGAGAAUGUUAUCACGGGAGACACACGGCGGGUGCUAACGUCCGUCGUGAAGAGGGAAACAACCCAGACCGCCAGCUAAGGUCCCAAAGUCAUGGUUAAGUGGGAAACGAUGUGGGAAGGCCCAGACAGCCAGGAUGUUGGCUUAGAAGCAGCCAUCAUUUAAAGAAAGCGUAAUAGCUCACUGGUCGAGUCGGCCUGCGCGGAAGAUGUAACGGGGCUAAACCAUGCACCGAAGCUGCGGCAGCGACGCUGAUGCGUUGUUGGGUAGGGGAGCGUUCUGUAAGCCUGCGAAGGUGUGCUGUGAGGCAUGCUGGAGGUAUCAGAAGUGCGAAUGCUGACAUAAGUAACGAUAAAGCGGGUGAAAAGCCCGCUCGCCGGAAGACCAAGGGUUCCUGUCCAACGUUAAUCGGGGCAGGGUGAGUCGACCCCUAAGGCGAGGCCGAAAGGCGUAGUCGAUGGGAAACAGGUUAAUAUUCCUGUACUUGGUGUUACUGCGAAGGGGGGACGGAGAAGGCUAUGUUGGCCGGGCGACGGUUGUCCCGGUUUAAGCGUGUAGGCUGGUUUUCCAGGCAAAUCCGGAAAAUCAAGGCUGAGGCGUGAUGACGAGGCACUACGGUGCUGAAGCAACAAAUGCCCUGCUUCCAGGAAAAGCCUCUAAGCAUCAGGUAACAUCAAAUCGUACCCCAAACCGACACAGGUGGUCAGGUAGAGAAUACCAAGGCGCUUGAGAGAACUCGGGUGAAGGAACUAGGCAAAAUGGUGCCGUAACUUCGGGAGAAGGCACGCUGAUAUGUAGGUGAAGUCCCUCGCGGAUGGAGCUGAAAUCAGUCGAAGAUACCAGCUGGCUGCAACUGUUUAUUAAAAACACAGCACUGUGCAAACACGAAAGUGGACGUAUACGGUGUGACGCCUGCCCGGUGCCGGAAGGUUAAUUGAUGGGGUCAGCGCAAGCGAAGCUCUUGAUCGAAGCCCCGGUAAACGGCGGCCGUAACUAUAACGGUCCUAAGGUAGCGAAAUUCCUUGUCGGGUAAGUUCCGACCUGCACGAAUGGCGUAAUGAUGGCCAGGCUGUCUCCACCCGAGACUCAGUGAAAUUGAACUCGCUGUGAAGAUGCAGUGUACCCGCGGCAAGACGGAAAGACCCCGUGAACCUUUACUAUAGCUUGACACUGAACAUUGAGCCUUGAUGUGUAGGAUAGGUGGGAGGCUUUGAAGUGUGGACGCCAGUCUGCAUGGAGCCGACCUUGAAAUACCACCCUUUAAUGUUUGAUGUUCUAAC